Lycium barbarum (goji berry) is the source of this 2943-nucleotide RNA transcript. It is a transcript of the gene named putative late blight resistance protein homolog R1B-17, with no coding region annotated. NCBI's taxonomy places the organism in Eukaryota, Viridiplantae, Streptophyta, Magnoliopsida, Solanales, Solanaceae. The record is from RefSeq and is a predicted model, not a curated record. The transcript has 4 exons.
UCCACUUGUGCCAUGAAGACAAAACUCAAAAUAUUAUUAUAUAUAUAUACACACACACCGUUCGCCUUUGUUGACUUGAUUACAGCAUUGCUAAAUUUUUAGCUCGUUUUUACCUCUGAUGUAGAAAGGACUGAUUUUUUCUUCUUCUUGAUUGAAUCAGUAAAGAUAUCAGGCUAGCUAAUUGACAUGGGGAACGUUCUGACGGGUAAAAGAACUCGUGCUAAUUCAACGGCUUCCAACCAAUAUAGUCAUGGUGAAAGAACUCGUGCUAAUUCAACGGCUUCCAACCAAUAUAGUCAUCAUCCACCAAUUGAUGAGGAAGCGGUUGGUUUUGAUGAUGAUGCAGAAAGUAUAAUUCAACAAUUGAAAUGGGGAACAAAGGAACUAGACAUUGUCUCGAUUGUUGGAAUGCCUGGACUGGGCAAAACAACAUUGGCUAAAAAGGUAUUCACUCAUCAUAGUAUUGAUAAACACUUUGACGUUCAAGCGUGGUGCUCUGUUUCAAAAGAAUAUAAUUCGAGGAAGGUGUUCUCUGAGAUUCUUAAACAAGUUGUAAGCAAUAUGGGUGGUAUUGAAGAUGAAGACAUGCCUGACAAGUUGCGCAAGAGUCUGAUGCGCAAGAGAUACCUCAUCGUAUUAGAUGAUAUAUGGGAAGUUGAGGCAUGGGAAGAGUUGCGGUUAUCUUUCCCACAGGAUGAAAAUGGAAGCAGAAUAGUUCUAACGACUCGAGAUGAAGAAGUGGCUAGGCAGCUUAAGCACCACAGUGAUCCAUAUUUUCUUCGAUUUCUCACGGUGGAUGAGAGCUGGGAAUUACUUCAGAAGAAAGUAUUUCAAGGAGAGAUUUGUCCCCCAGAACUACUCAAAGCAGGAUUACAAGUUGCUGAAAGCUGCAAGGGAUUACCUCUUGCAAUCGUUUUGAUUGCUGGAAUUAUUGCAAAGCAAAAGCAAGUCUCUUUGUGGCGUGAAGCUGCAAAUGAUUUAAGUUCCCGUGUUUUAGAAGAACAAAGCAUGAAGAUAAUAGAAUCAAGUUAUGACCCUUUGCAAGACCAUUUAAAGUCUUGCCUUCUUUACAUGGUGUUGUUCCCAGAAGACUACAAAUUUCCAGUGUCCGAAUUGCUUAACUUGUGGAUAGCUGAAAAUUUUGUACACAACAUGGAAACAGAGAACAUGGAGGAAGCGUCAAAAAUUUGCUUGAAUGAUCUAGUGAACAGAAGCCUAGUUAUUGUUUCUGGAAGGAGAGAAGAUAACGGCGAGAUAGAAUACUGCACCGUUCACGAUGUAGUGCGUGAGUUUUGCUUGAGAAAACUUACAAAAGAAAAGUUUAUGCAGUACCAACAGUCAAAGGAACCUCAGUAUACUGCAAGUUGUAUCCAUGAUGAUCUUGUCCACCAAUUGUUGCAGUGUGAAAAAUUAUUGGAUAAGAUUCCAAAGUUGGCAGGCUUGAAGGAAGGGGAGUCUUUUGCCCAAUGUCAUGAUAGGUCUCUUGAGUUCAUUGCUCAUCCAGAAUCCCGUGUAUGGGAAAAGACAAGUCUUUUACUUGAUAACUUAAGAUUUAUUCGGGUGUUGCAUUUGUCGGAUGUCUGCUUGGAAAGACGUUUGUGGGCUAUGGUAGUGCAAGCAGUAACUCACUUGAGGUAUCUUGCAAUUUGUACCCGAGAAUUUGAUUUCCAGUGGGUAUCACACCUACACGAUCUACAAACUUUGCAGGUGGUGAGGAAAGAUGAAUUUUCAAGGCGUUUCGAGACAUCACCUUCUAUUUGGAAAAUGCAGAAGCUAAGGCAUGUGGAUAUACAGGACUUUUCCUUCAAAUGGGAAGACAAUGAUCGAGCAGCUUUCGAAGAAUCUUCAGAAAUUGUGUUACCGAACUUGAAGACUUUUGGAAAGUGCCGUAUAUACAUAGUCGAUAUGGCUCCGGAGUUCUGGAGGAGAUUCCCAAAUAUUGAACAACUCAAUCUCCACUUUGUUGAACAGGGUUAUGAAGUUCAUAUGCCUAAUCUUGAAGAACUCCCACUUCAAUCUCUCGAAGUGGGCUUCUCACGCCCAAUUACAGGCUACAAAUCCAUAGGACGGGACAGUUGUGUUGCCUUCCCUUCAAAUCUAAAGGGCUUGUCCCUUGAUAGACUUUGCCUAACAGAAAAAGUUGUUUCGCAACUUGCAAGUCUGCGAAACCUUGAGAGGCUCAAACUACGUGGCAUAUACUUCAAGUCCGAAGAUAGAUUCUCGCAGGCUGAAUAUUGCAUAUGUUGGGAUGUCAGUGACUAUGAGUUUCGAGCACUCAAAUACUUGAAUUUACAGAAUGUUCUUGUUACAGAAUGGCGCUCCUCAGAAGCAUCCUUCCCCGUGCUUGAGAAACUAAUUAUAAACAAUUGCAAAAUUAUGUGCGGUCAGAUCCCUUCUAGCUUUGUGGAUAUCCCAACACUGAAGUUGAUUAAAUUGAUUUGCUGCGAUAAGUCACUUCAGGAUUCAGCUCUCAACAUUAAAAAAGAAGUGGAAGAGAUGACAGGAUGUGAUAGUCUCCAAGUUCAUAUGCAGCAUAAAACAUAUAAUGGUUUCUUUCUCCAAGCUGCAGAUGUAGAUUUUGCAAUAGACUGCUUUGGUGCUUGAGAUCAAGAAGACAUCCGUAACACACUGCCUCUUUAUGCCUUGAGGUUGCAAAUGAUGUACAUAUUUAUAUGACAUACCCUCGUGGGAGCAUUUUGAUGACUGGGUUUGAGUUUGCUUGGAGAUAUCAGAGUGAGUUGCUUGGCUAGUUCGUAGCACCGUGGACUCCCUCUCUUAUUUUAUUAGUGUUCUAUUCUCAUCCAGACAGUGUAUCAGAUUUCAGACUUAUGUAUUUGUGUCUUUUUUGAUGCUCUUGAAUCAUAUCACAGGUUUUGCGAUGUUGGUUGUAUUUCCGCACUUUUAUCAUAUUAGACUAAUAUUAUGUAUUUCGUUAUGUUUUCA